AUUGAGAGUUUGAUCCUGGCUCAGGAUGAACGCUAGCGGCAGGCUUAAUACAUGCAAGUCGAGGGGCAGCAGAGUAUACGCAAGUAUACAGAUGGCGACCGGCGGACGGGUGAGUAAAAGGUAGGAGACCUACCUCAUACUGGGGGAUAGCACAGAGAAAUCUAUGGUAAUACCCCAUGAGGUUAUAUGAAUAGAGGCAUAUAAUCAAAGAUAGUGAGAGUUAUUGGUAUGAGAUGGGCUUACUGACCAUUAGCUAGUUGGUGAGGUAAGGGCUCACCAAGGCGAAGAUGGUUAGGGGUUUUGAGAGAGAGACCCCCCACAUUGGAACUGAGAGACGGUCCAGACUCCUACGGGAGGCAGCAGUAGGGAAUAUUGGGCAAUGGGCGGAAGCCUGACCCAGCCAUGCCGCGUGAAGGAAGACGGCCUUAUGGGUUGUAAACCUCUUUACUAUGCGAAUAGAGGUUAGUACGAGAUACUAAUAGGAAGGUAGCAUAGAAAAAAGCACCGGCUAACUCCGUGCCAGCAGCCGCGGUAAUACGGAGGGUGCGAGCGUUAUUCGGAAUUACUGGGUUUAAAGGGUGCGUAGGCGGUUAAAUAAGUUGUCAGUGAAAGGCUACGGCUCAACUGUAGUAGUGCUGGCGAUACUGUAUAACUAAGAACAUGGGAGGGGUACCUGGAAUGUGUGGUGUAGCGGUGAAAUGCGUAGAUAUCACACAGAACACCGGAGCGAAAGCGGGGUACUAGACCAUAGUUGACGCUGAGCACGAAAGCGUGGGGAUCAAACAGGAUUAGAUACCCUGGUAGUCCACGCCCUAAACGAUGAUCACUAGAUAUUGGCGACAGACAGUCAGUGUCUAAGCGAAAGUGAUAGUGAUCCACCUGGGGAAUACGCCGCAAGUUAAACUCAAGGAUGACGGGGCCCGCACAGCG
Molecule: ribosomal RNA, 930 nt
Filed under: uncultured Bacteroidota bacterium
Lineage: Bacteria; Pseudomonadati; Bacteroidota
Description: bacterial SSU rRNA
Rfam family: Bacterial small subunit ribosomal RNA
Source: RNAcentral